AGUGGGGAAUAUUGGACAAUGGGGGCAACCCUGAUCCAGCGACGCCGCGUGUGUGAAGAAGGCCUGCGGGUUGUAAAGCACUUUUAGUGGGGAUGAAAAGUACAGGGUUAAUACCUCUGUAUCUUGACCUAACCCACAGAAAAAGCACCGGCUAACUCUGUGCCAGCAGCCGCGGUAAUACAGAGGGUGCAAGCGUUAAUCGGAAUUACUGGGCGUAAAGCGUGCGUAGGUGGUUUGUUAAGUCUGUUGUGAAAGCCCCGGGCUCAACCUGGGAAUGGCAAUGGAUACUGGCAAGCUAGAGUGCGGUAGAGGGGUGUGGAAUUCCCGGU
Molecule: ribosomal RNA, 329 nt
Filed under: uncultured temperate forest soil bacterium C6061
Lineage: Bacteria; Pseudomonadati; Pseudomonadota; Gammaproteobacteria
Description: bacterial SSU rRNA
Rfam family: Bacterial small subunit ribosomal RNA
Source: RNAcentral